This 591-nucleotide long non-coding RNA is filed under the name Homo sapiens (human). RNAcentral's name for it is "HSALNT0396406". The record is from RNAcentral. Lineage: Eukaryota; Metazoa; Chordata; Mammalia; Primates; Hominidae.
AGCUGAGGCAGGAGAAUCGCUUGAACCUGGGAGGCGGAGGUUGUGAUGAACCGAGAUUGCACCAUUGCACUCCAGCCUGGGCCACAAGAGUGAAACUCCAUCUCAAAAAAAAAAAAAAAAAAAGUUGUAUUAGAAUCUGGCCACACCCCUUUGUGUGUGUAUUACUUAGAAUUGCUUUAGCAACCUCCAUACUAUAACUUCAAAGUGGAGUAGUGGCACAGAGACCAUAUGGCCUGCAGAAUGGAAAAUGUCACCUGUUUGGCCUCUUACCAGAAAAAUUUGCCAACCGCUCAACUAGGGUGUGAUGGAGAAUCCCAAGGUGUCCCUUCCCUCCCAAAGCCACUCAGGGAAUCAUCUGUACCCUUGUGGCCUGCAUUUUAACAAACAUAUACACAAACACAUUUUUUAAAUUUGCUAGAAAUCUUCCCUCCCAUUUUCAAGUGUGGUUAAUCAAUUGACCAAAACCCAGUUUUCUUUCUUUCUUUCUUUCUUUUUUUGAGACUCUGUCACCCAGGCUGGAGUGCAGUGGCGCAAUCUCAGCUCACUGCAGCCUCCGCCUCCCGGGUUCAAGCAGUUCUCCUGCCUCAGCCU